Molecule: ribosomal RNA, 253 nt
Filed under: uncultured bacterium
Lineage: Bacteria
Description: partial 16S ribosomal RNA
Rfam family: Bacterial small subunit ribosomal RNA
Source: RNAcentral
UACGGAGGGGGCGAGUGUUGUUCGGAAUUACUGGGCGUAAAGGGCGCGCAGGCGGCGCGGCCAGUCGAGUGUGAAAGCCCUUGGCUUAACUAAGGAAUGGCGCUCGAAACUACCGCGCUAGAGGACGGGAGAGGGAAGUGGAACUCUCGGUGUAGGGGUGAAAUCUGUAGAGAUCGAGAGGAACACCGGUGGCGAAGGCGGCUUCCUGGCCCGUCGCUGACGCUGAGGCGCGAAAGCGUGGGGAGCAAACAGG